GAUGAACGCUGGCGGCGUGCCUAAUACAUGCAAGUCGAGCGAACAGAUGAGGAGCUUGCUCCUCUGACGUUAGCGGCGGACGGGUGAGUAACACGUGGAUAACCUACCUAUAAGACUGGGAUAACUUCGGGAAACCGGAGCUAAUACCGGAUAAUAUAUUGAACCGCAUGGUUCAAUAGUGAAAGACGGUUUUGCUGUCACUUAUAGAUGGAUCCGCGCCGCAUUAGCUAGUUGGUAAGGUAACGGCUUACCAAGGCAACGAUGCGUAGCCGACCUGAGAGGAUGAUCGGCCACACUGGAACUGAGACACGGUCCAGACUCCUACGGGAGGCAGCAGUUGGGAAUCUUCCGCAAUGGGCGAAAGCUUGACGGAGCAACGCCGCGUGAGUGAUGAAGGUCUUCGGAUCGUAAAACUCUGUUAUUAGGGAAGAACAAAUGUGUAAGUAACUAUGCACGUCUUGACGGUACCUAAUCAGAAAGCCACGGCUAACUACGUG
Molecule: ribosomal RNA, 497 nt
Filed under: uncultured bacterium
Lineage: Bacteria
Description: partial 16S ribosomal RNA
Rfam family: Bacterial small subunit ribosomal RNA
Source: RNAcentral